This 1188-nucleotide ribosomal RNA is filed under the name Vibrio parahaemolyticus. RNAcentral's name for it is "bacterial LSU rRNA". It matches the Rfam family "Bacterial large subunit ribosomal RNA", at positions 324 to 1526 of the family's 2925-position model. Lineage: Bacteria; Pseudomonadati; Pseudomonadota; Gammaproteobacteria; Vibrionales; Vibrionaceae. The record is from RNAcentral.
ACGCGUUAGACGAACGGUCUGGAAAGUCCGACGAUACAGGGUGAUAGUCCCGUAGUUGACGACGUGUGUUCAGUGAAAUCGAGUAGGGCGGGACACGUGAUAUCCUGUCUGAAUAUGGGGGGACCAUCCUCCAAGGCUAAAUACUACUGACUGACCGAUAGUGAACCAGUACCGUGAGGGAAAGGCGAAAAGAACCCCUGUGAGGGGAGUGAAAUAGAACCUGAAACCGUGUACGUACAAGCAGUAGGAGCAGGCUUUGUCCUGUGACUGCGUACCUUUUGUAUAAUGGGUCAGCGACUUAUAUUCAGUGGCAAGGUUAACCAUCUAGGGGAGCCGUAGGGAAACCGAGUCUUAACUGGGCGUUCAGUCUCUGGAUAUAGACCCGAAACCAGGUGAUCUAGCCAUGGGCAGGUUGAAGGUUGAGUAACAUCAACUGGAGGACCGAACCGACUAAUGUUGAAAAAUUAGCGGAUGACUUGUGGCUAGGGGUGAAAGGCCAAUCAAACCUGGAGAUAGCUGGUUCUCCCCGAAAGCUAUUUAGGUAGCGCCUCGGACGAAUACUACUGGGGGUAGAGCACUGUUAAGGCUAGGGGGUCAUCCCGACUUACCAACCCUUUGCAAACUCCGAAUACCAGUAAGUACUAUCCGGGAGACACACGGCGGGUGCUAACGUCCGUCGUGGAGAGGGAAACAACCCAGACCGCCAGCUAAGGUCCCAAAUUACUACUAAGUGGGAAACGAUGUGGGAAGGCUCAGACAGCCAGGAUGUUGGCUUAGAAGCAGCCAUCAUUUAAAGAAAGCGUAAUAGCUCACUGGUCGAGUCGGCCUGCGCGGAAGAUGUAACGGGGCUAAGUAGUAAACCGAAGCUGCGGCAAUAUACUUUUGUAUAUUGGGUAGGGGAGCGUUCUGUAAGCGGUUGAAGGUGUGUGGUAACGCAUGCUGGACGUAUCAGAAGUGCGAAUGCUGACAUGAGUAACGAUAAAGGGGGUGAAAAACCUCCUCGCCGGAAGACCAAGGGUUCCUGUCCAACGUUAAUCGGGGCAGGGUAAGUCGACCCCUAAGGCGAGGCCGAAAGGCGUAGUCGAUGGGAAACGGGUUAAUAUUCCCGUACUUCUUACAAUUGCGAUGGGGGGACGGAGAAGGCUAGGUGGGCCUGGCGACGGUUGUCCAGGUUCAAGUGCGUAGGCU